UGGGGAAUUUUGCACAAUGGAGGAAACUCUGAUGCAGCGACGCCGCGUGAGUGAUGAAGAUCUUCGUAUUGUAAAACUCUGUCCUUAGUGAAGAUAAUGACAGUAACUAAGAAGCAAGCCCUGGCUAAAUACGUGCCAGCAGCCGCGGUAAUACGUAUGGGGCAAGCGUUGUCCGGAAUUAUUGGGCGUAAAGGGUACGUAGGCGGUUUAAUAAGUCCUAAUUAAAAGGCUAUGGCUCAACCAUAGUAUGGUUAGGAAACUGUUGAACUUGAGUAGAUGAGGGGAAAGUGGAAUUCCAUGUGUAGCGGUAAGAUGCGUAGAUAUAUGGAGGAACACCAAUGGCGAAGGCAACUUUCUGGAAUCAAACUGACGCUGAGGUACGAAGGCGUGGGGAGCAAGCAGG
Molecule: ribosomal RNA, 403 nt
Filed under: Fusobacteriota bacterium
Lineage: Bacteria; Fusobacteriati; Fusobacteriota
Description: Fusobacteria bacterium partial 16S ribosomal RNA
Rfam family: Bacterial small subunit ribosomal RNA
Source: RNAcentral